RNAcentral lists this transfer RNA (71 nucleotides) under Gammaproteobacteria bacterium. RNAcentral describes it as "tRNA-OTHER". The record is from RNAcentral. Lineage: Bacteria; Pseudomonadati; Pseudomonadota; Gammaproteobacteria.
GGUAAGGGACAGGCGUCGCCAGCGGUUUCAUACGCCGCCAUGCGCCGGUUCGAGUCCGGCCCUUACUUCCA